UAUCCCCAGAAUGAGGGAGCACAUUGGUAUGAACACCAAACUAAUCAUGUUUCUUUUUGACUUUCAGAUCAAGGGUUGCCACUUAUCCCUUAGGUGAACUCUUUUACUAUACAAAAGCUCAUGCAAGUACCAGCAAAAGGAAAAUAUUGCAAUUCCCUUUUCUCUGUGUGGAAUUUAUAUGGAAAGAAGUUGUGGAGACAGGAAGAGUUUUUAGAAGGGACAGAACCACUUGAACAUAUAUUCCUUUACCUAAAUUAUGACCUGUGCCUGGAGUCCCAUGCUCCCUUCUGAUCAACCCCAAACUUUCUUCUCUGAAUUGGAACUAUGAGCCAGAACUGUUUGUGAGCAAUUGACUUUCCAAUUAACACCAGCUGCACCUCCUUCCAGCAAAGGGGCCCUUAUAAUCUGUUUUUGACCAGCUAUUUGACCCUCUUACUGUUUCUGUGUAGAAAGCUCCUGAAACUGCUGCUAUUGUUG
This 477-nucleotide long non-coding RNA is filed under the name Monodelphis domestica (gray short-tailed opossum). Its description in RNAcentral is "lncRNA (ENSMODG00000039596.1)". Lineage: Eukaryota; Metazoa; Chordata; Mammalia; Didelphimorphia; Didelphidae. The record is from RNAcentral.